GUGCUGAAGGACCGCUUUUCCCCUCAAUCUGCCCUGGACUGAUACCAGAAUACAAAUGUGCUACAUGUGACUGACCACAGGAGUUUGACAACACCUGAACUGCUCUUUGCCCUGUUCAACAAGGGGAGUCUACUGGCCAUUUGAGAAGCCUGAGCCUCAGAGGAGGAAGUGACUCCUUUCAUUUAUGCUGCUGGCAUCUGGUGAAGCUUGGUCUUGGCAUUCAGAGUCUUGUUCCGUCGCCAGACACCAGGCUGGAGUGCAGUGGCGUGAUCUCAGCUCACUGCAACCUCUGCCUCCCGGGUUCAAGCAAUUCUCCUGCCUCAGCCUCCCGAGUAGCUGAGAUUACAGCUCCCACAGAAACUCUCUGCACCGCCCCGCUGCAGCCAGGGUUGAGGGAGGAGUGGUGUCAGCGAUUCAGGACUGUUUUUCUAUCUCUUCAGUGCCUCUUUCAGUGAUAUGAAGUUAAAACCAGGUACUAUGAGUGCUCACUUUAUUUGGGGUUCUCAUGAAGGUGUUUUUUCUGUGUAGAUAGUUACUAACUCAGUGUCCUUGUGGGGGUGGAUUGGGGGGGCAAUGGUGGAAACUCUUAUUCCAUCAUCUUGCAUUUCCUCUUUUUUCCCUCUCUAAACAGACCAGAAUGUGCCUCUGAAUGCUAUUUUUAAUUUAUUAAAUUAAAAUGUGAAAGUUAUGAUUUAUUACUUGGUAGGCCUCGAUAUGUUAUUUUUUUUCAUUCUCAUUAGUUAAUAAAGAUGCCAACUCUUAACUAAACUGAGAAAAUUUACCAAACUGCAUGUCAGUUAAACUUAGUUGCUUUGAUUUGCUUUGUUUUGGCUUUCUUUUAUCCCUUUGCAUUUUUAAUAAUGCAAAGGAAUAAAAGGAAGUAAAAAAGUACAUUGAAAUAAUGAGCAUUGAAAUAAUAAUCCUUCUAUGAAUUCAAGCAAUGCAUUCAGAGUGGAGUCCAUGGUGUACUUACCCUCACGUCCUGGCUGUCCGUCUAGUGAACAACACUCGUGCACACUCUUAAUAGUAGCUGAGAUAGGCAUUUAGUUUUUUGAGCAAGAAAAGACACUUUAGCAAGUUAGGGAAGAAAGAAGUAUUCUAUUUCUAUAAAUGUAUGCAAUGUUGUUUGACACAUCAGCUAUAACUACCCUUUUAAAACAUCUACUAUGUGUCAGUGCUAUGCAAAGUAUAAUGUGGCUUAUUUAAAAUUUCUGCAACAGGCCGAGCAUGGUGGCUCAUGCUUGUAAUCCCAGCAUUUUGGGAGGCUGAGGUGGUGGAUUGAGGUCAGGAGUUUGAGACCAGGCUGGCCAACAUGGUGAAACCCCAUCUCUACUAAAAAUACAAAAAUUAGCCAGGCAUGAUGGUGCGUACCUGUAGCCCCAGCUACUCAGGAGGCUAAGGUAGAAGCAUCACUUGAACGUGGGAGGUGGAUGUUGCAGUGAGCUGAGAUUGAGCUACUGCACUCUAGCUUGGGUAACAGAGAGAGACUCUGUCUCAAAUAAAAA
RNAcentral lists this long non-coding RNA (1505 nucleotides) under Callithrix jacchus (white-tufted-ear marmoset). RNAcentral describes it as "lncRNA (ENSCJAG00000081583.1)". The record is from RNAcentral. Lineage: Eukaryota; Metazoa; Chordata; Mammalia; Primates; Cebidae.